Molecule: long non-coding RNA, 233 nt
Organism: Elgaria multicarinata webbii
Lineage: Eukaryota; Metazoa; Chordata; Lepidosauria; Squamata; Anguidae
Exons: 2
Source: RefSeq, a predicted model, not a curated record
GGAGAAGACUAUCUUGUGCCUGCCUGCCAUGUAGCUGUCCACGAUGAGGAAAGUGCCAAAACCAGAGGUGGCAAACCCAGAUUUUUAAAUGUCACAUGGAGCCAAUCAGAACUGCCACUAUCCAUUUCAUGAAAAGCAGAGUACAGAAUUCAAAGCCGUCCUUGAACAGCGAAGACUGAACGAUAGCAUCAGAUGUUGCAGUCUCAAUAAAUACUUCUUUCUGUUUUGGAGAA